This 513-nucleotide ribosomal RNA is filed under the name uncultured bacterium. RNAcentral describes it as "partial 16S ribosomal RNA". It matches the Rfam family "Bacterial small subunit ribosomal RNA", at positions 28 to 523 of the family's 1533-position model. The record is from RNAcentral.
GACGAACGCUGGCGGCGUGCCUAAUACAUGCAAGUCGAGCGGACCGAAGGGAGCUUGCUCCUUUAGGUUAGCGGCGGACGGGUGAGUAACACGUGGGCAACCUGCCCUGCAGACUGGGAUAACUUCGGGAAACCGGAGCUAAUACCGGAUAACACCGAAAACCGCAUGGUUUUCGGUUGAAAGGCGGCUUUUAGCUGUCACUGCAGGAUGGGCCCGCGGCGCAUUAGCUAGUUGGUGAGGUAACGGCUCACCAAGGCGACGAUGCGUAGCCGACCUGAGAGGGUGACCGGCCACACUGGGACUGAGACACGGCCCAGACUCCUACGGGAGGCAGCAGUAGGGAAUCUUCCGCAAUGGACGAAAGUCUGACGGAGCAACGCCGCGUGAGCGAAGAAGGUCUUCGGAUCGUAAAGCUCUGUUGUCAGGGAAGAACAAGUACCGUUCGAACAGGGCGGUACCUGACGGUACCUGACGAGGAAGCCACGGCUAACUACUUGCCAGCAGCCGCGGUAA